UAAGACGAACCGUGCAAACGUUAUUCGGAAUCACUGGGCUUAAAGGGCGCGUAGGCGGGUGGUCAAGUCCGAGGUGAAAGCCUCCAGCUUAACUGGAGAAGUGCCCCGGAUACUGAUUGUCUCGAGGAGGGUAGGGGCAUCUGGAACUAGCGGUGGAGCGGUGAAAUGCGUUGAUAUCGCUAGGAACUCCAAUGGCGAAGGCAAGGUGCUGGACCCUUUCUGACGCUGAGGCGCGAAAGCCAGGGGAGCGAACGGGAUUAGAUACCCCGGUAGUCCUGGCCCUAAACGAUGAGGACUAGAUAGUGGACUUGAUAUGGGUUCACUGUCGGAGCAAAAGUGCUAAGUCCUCCGCCUGGGGAGUAUGGUCGCAAGGCUG
Molecule: ribosomal RNA, 376 nt
Filed under: uncultured bacterium
Lineage: Bacteria
Description: bacterial SSU rRNA
Rfam family: Bacterial small subunit ribosomal RNA
Source: RNAcentral